This 157-nucleotide ribosomal RNA is filed under the name Fusarium sp. JMSR-2013. RNAcentral describes it as "5.8S ribosomal RNA". It matches the Rfam family "5.8S ribosomal RNA". From Rfam's summary of the family: 5.8S ribosomal RNA (5.8S rRNA) is a component of the large subunit of the eukaryotic ribosome. It is transcribed by RNA polymerase I as part of the 45S precursor that also contains 18S and 28S rRNA. The record is from RNAcentral. Lineage: Eukaryota; Fungi; Ascomycota; Sordariomycetes; Hypocreales; Nectriaceae.
AAACUUUCAACAACGGAUCUCUUGGCUCUGGCAUCGAUGAAGAACGCAGCGAAAUGCGAUAAGUAAUGUGAAUUGCAGAAUUCAUGAAUCAUCGAAUCUUUGAACGCACAUUGCGCCCGCCAGUAUUCUGGCGGGCAUGCCUGUUCGAGCGUCAUUA